GAUGAACGCUGGCGGCGUGCCUAAUACAUGCAAGUCGAGCGAACAGACGAGGAGCUUGCUCCUUUGACGUUAGCGGCGGACGGGUGAGUAACACGUAGGUAACCUACCUAUAAGACUGGGAUAACUUCGGGAAACCGGAGCUAAUACCGGAUAAUAUUUCGAACCGCAUGGUUCGAUAGUGAAAGAUGGCUUUGCUAUCACUUAUAGAUGGACCUGCGCCGUAUUAGCUAGUUGGUAAGGUAACGGCUUACCAAGGCAACGAUACGUAGCCGACCUGAGAGGGUGAUCGGCCACACUGGAACUGAGACACGGUCCAGACUCCUACGGGAGGCAGCAGUAGGGAAUCUUCCGCAAUGGGCGAAAGCCUGACGGAGCAACGCCGCGUGAGUGAUGAAGGUCUUCGGAUCGUAAAACCCUGUUAUUAGGGAAGAACAAACGUGUAAGUAACUGUGCACGUCUUGACGGUACCUAAUCAGAAAGCCACGGCUAACUACGUG
Molecule: ribosomal RNA, 497 nt
Filed under: uncultured bacterium
Lineage: Bacteria
Description: partial 16S ribosomal RNA
Rfam family: Bacterial small subunit ribosomal RNA
Source: RNAcentral